UAUGAAGAACGUAGCGAAAUGCGAUACGUAAUGUGAAUUGCAGAAUUCAGUGAAUCAUCGAGUCUUUGAACGCACAUUGCGCCCCCUGGUAUUCCGGGGGGCAUGCCUGUCCGAGCGUCAUUGCUGCCCUCAAGCACGGCUUGUGUGUUGGGCCUCCGUCCUCCUCCCGGGGGACGGGCCCGAAAGGCAGCGGCGGCACCGCGUCCGGUCCUCGAGCGUAUGGGGCUUCGUCACCCGCUCUUGUAGGCCCGGCCGGCGCUUGCCGACACAUCAAUCUUUUUUCCAGGUUGACCUCGGAUCAGGUAGGGAUACCCGCUGAACUUAAGCAUAUCAAUAAGCGGAGGA
This 345-nucleotide unclassified non-coding RNA is filed under the name soil metagenome. Its description in RNAcentral is "partial contains 5.8S ribosomal RNA, internal transcribed spacer 2, and large subunit ribosomal RNA". The stretch from base 2 to 120 matches the Rfam family "5.8S ribosomal RNA", at positions 36 to 154 of the family's 154-position model. The record is from RNAcentral.